CAGUCCAUGCACUUGACAGCCUUGCACUGCCUCUGCUUCCCCACCAAGGAAAAGCCCUCAAGAGCCUGCACAGCAAGACUGCAGCCAGGACCAUGACGUCAGUGCCACCCAGAAGCUGCUUGUCCUUCCAGAUCCUUCCAUGGGGAACAGAGGCUUUCAUUCCUCCAAUAGAGAUGCUGCUGAUGUGUGAACCAGAGCUUUGCAGCCUCUGUGUCCACCGGAUCAAGAGGUGUAUGAACAGACGGAUCCACGCAGGCCUCGGGCACGUGGACAGGGCUCAGAGCCACACUCCCCGCCCUGACCAGCCCCCUCUAGCCUUGGGUGGUGGUCACAGCGACAGUACAAAUGUCACCAUUCCCUGUGACGGACAGGAAGUGAAGAUAGUCAGAGGGCAGCAGAUCGUCCUGGUGAGCAGAUUUUCAACAGCGUGAGUUCUGCCAGAGGCACCCCACCCCCUCAGCUUUUUAGCCAGCCCGUCACUACCUGCAGGAGGUGGGGCCAGGGUGCAGGGCCAGGGCUUUGGUGGAGAAAGAUUUGCAUAAAUCCAGCCAUCCCAGAAUCCUCCCUGGUCAAUUUUUUUUUUCCCCAUUCUUAUCCAAGAAGAGUCCAAGACUUUUAUCCAAGAGAAGAGUCUGCCUCAGCCAGCCUCAUGUCCUUCCUCUUCUCUGGCCCUGUGCUCGGAAUUCGGGAGCAGAUGUGGCAGCCUGUGACUGUGCCCUUUAGCCCUGGUGGCGGGGGACACCUCCCGUUACCAUUCAGCAGGAAGACUCCAGAACUGACAACCAGGCUUACCUCUGGCAGUUCCAUCAACAAAGUCCUCCUCCCCCCACAUUGAAGGGAUUAUUUUAAAAAUGAGAAUGUGAUAGAUUUUCUAAGCCAGAGCUAUAUUGCUUUCCCCCAAAGCAGUUUUCAAACAUUUCAAAAAAUGUUAGCUAGUGAGUCCAAAAGCUCCUUUUAUUCUUUCUGUUUUCUCCCACUCUGAAAAUACACACACGUAGAUCUGUGUACACAGCACACUUGAAGGCAUAUUUUCCAGGAUGUAACUAACAAAGGGAAGAAUGUGGUGGUGGUUGGAAUUCUGGCGCUUGCAAGACAUGGGUCUGUGCUCUGCAUUUCAGUACAGAGGUGAUCACACUGUUAUGGGCAGAGCAUCUGCUCCCUUCACCUGCAGCCUCCACCCUCCUCUUCCUCUGCUCCCUGACCUGACCCGAGAGGCGUUUGAACUAACACGAUCAAGGUGUCGGGACCAGUAUCCCACCCUCCCGCCACCGUGCUUGGCAAGUUCCCAGGGCCUGCAAGUCACACACGGGCCAAGUCGUGGCCUCUUUCCAACAAAAUGGGUACAUGUCCAUGUCAGGCCCAUCUUGCUGCCCUUCAUUAUAACUGUGGUCAAGGAGAAAGGAGUAAGUAGGCUUGGGUACUACAAGGCAAAGCAAUAUUCGAAAGUUUAACAUAUGCUUAUUUUCUAAAAUGUAAGACCUCCAUGGUGAUUGGGGGACUUGGGUGCCCGUCUUCAAUUCUUGUGCCGCAAAGGCCGGGAGGAAACCAUCCCUUUCCCAGGUGCUCUGACCUUGGCCUUGGGAUGCGUGGGCCCACUCCCCAUGUACAGAGGCGGCAUCCUUUGCACAUGGCAGGGCUGUGCGGAGAAACGGGCCCCUGGUGCCUGGGACAUUCCUUCACAGAGGCUCUCCUAGCAACAUGGCGACGCCAGCCAACCCAACAAUGACCUUUUGUCUCUAGCUCUCCUCAGCUCUGUGGCCAUUAGUCUCACCAGAAAACUCAAAGGAUAUUUUGCAAGAGAAGAGUGGUUGCGAGCUAAAGCUCUGAAUCAGUUGCUUUCCUCUGCUUUCUGCAAAUAUCAAACUGGGCUUGCGCCAGAUGAUCGCUUUAGGAGCAGGAAGUACCUAGAGAGGUGCCCUGGAUGGGGGAAAGCUGAGUCUGGAUGGCCCGCGUCCUGGCUCCGGGUAGGGAAGCCCCUCUGUACCACAUCCCUGAACUGUCUGGACCUUAGUGUCCUCAUCUUCCAAAUGAAGCACUAAUUCUCAACAGCGCCGAGUCCUUGCUAACAGUCCAGAUUCCCGAGCCAACAGUAGUUCCCCUGCUGACUCAGAAUCUCUGGGACUGAGCUCCGCCAACGUGACUUUUCACCAAAGGCCAAUAUAGACCUUGCUGAACAAUUGUAAAAACGCUUAGGUAAUUAACUUUCUAAUUUUGUUUACUUGGCACGAGAGGACCAACACACACACACUCAGGAUUGGUAUGCUACAUGCAUUGUGGGGAAUGUGUUUUUUUUUUCUGAUAGAGUUUGCAAAGGACAGAACCAGCCCAUUUUCUUUGCUGUUCCUGGUUAGUUAUCUUCUAUACAAGAAUGUAAAUCAUGCCUCUCUAUCGGCAAAUCACUUUGGACUGUGUGCUUCCAAUAGAUACACUUUAAAAAUUUUGAUAUAUCUGUAUUUACUUAUAUUUUGCUUUAGUAUGAACAUGUUACGACUGUGUUCCUAAUGUUAAAAAAAUAAAUGUUU
This 2522-nucleotide long non-coding RNA is filed under the name Sus scrofa (pig). RNAcentral's name for it is "lncRNA (ENSSSCG00065042400.1)". The record is from RNAcentral. Lineage: Eukaryota; Metazoa; Chordata; Mammalia; Artiodactyla; Suidae.